Magallana angulata is the source of this 300-nucleotide long non-coding RNA. RefSeq lists it as uncharacterized. Lineage: Eukaryota; Metazoa; Mollusca; Bivalvia; Ostreida; Ostreidae. The transcript has 3 exons. The record is from RefSeq and is a predicted model, not a curated record.
UGUUUGAAUGCCGAAAACACUUUGACAAGAUGUUACAACGGUUGCUGCGAAUGCUUAUAUUCACGAUCAUAUCUAGGUACACCGCUGGAGACUGGUGCCUACGUACGUACAAAGGUUGCUGCCCGGGCUUUAGCUUGAAUUCGACAACUCAACAAUGUGAACAAUGUAUGGCAGGCUACACUGGGUGGAACUGUUCAAUACCGUGUCCGUAUCCUACAUACGGAUGGGGCUGUCAAGGAUAUUGUAACUGUUACUAAGACUUGUGUGAUAUUUCUAUGGGGUGCAUUAUUUUUACUACAG